GUGGAGGUGUAGCUCAGUGGUUACUUCGCGUCAAUCCAAGUAUUACUGCUCCAAUCCUUUGGUUACCAAACUCUGCAGGGUUCGAACCACGGGCGCUGUUCUCUGCUUUU
RNAcentral lists this vault RNA (110 nucleotides) under Betta splendens (Siamese fighting fish). RNAcentral describes it as "Vault RNA (ENSBSLG00000005102.1)". It matches the Rfam family "Vault RNA". Rfam says of the family: This family of RNAs are found as part of the enigmatic vault ribonucleoprotein complex. The complex consists of a major vault protein (MVP), two minor vault proteins (VPARP and TEP1), and several small untranslated RNA molecules. It has been suggested that the vault complex is involved in drug resistance. The record is from Rfam by way of RNAcentral. Lineage: Eukaryota; Metazoa; Chordata; Actinopteri; Anabantiformes; Osphronemidae.